AUCAUUACGCAGACCGACAGGUGUCGGUUAUUCACCAAUCGCUAUCCGCUAGCUUAUAUGUUUACCCUGAUGGAUGGGGUGGCUACCCGCCCUGUCCAGCUGAGAACAAUAUGGCUGUGAAGGCUCUUCUCCUAUUAAUGAUGCUCCUGGUGUCGGGAGGCCCUCUCAUCCCCACGGCCUUCGCUGCAAGAGCAGCCAACAAGCCUCCAUGUGAAAAUAUACCGCGUAAUGUUCUCGGAGGCCAUGCCAGCGCCCCCGGUGUUCGUACUGCACGUUGCGGUAGUGUGGAUCCCCCCGUUAUUUCGUUCCCACCAUGCUUCUCUUGCAAGCGCGUGAAACCGUAGAUUUCCCAGCUACUUCCUGCUCCUUUCAAAAAGGAAACCGUACGUAGAUUUCCGUGAAGGCUUAAGGAAGCACAGCAAUUGUCUUCAUCUCUCUGUCCUCAUACUUUACCAUUCACUGGUGAAUGCAGACAUGAAAAUGAAGCCCAAAGAAUUGUAAUAUCGUGGAUUUAAAUAAAAAAUUUAUCAGAUUAUAUAUAUGAGUAUAGUACUUCACGUGAAAGUAUUGAUUAUUUAA
Molecule: non-coding RNA, 579 nt
Organism: Elaeis guineensis (African oil palm)
Lineage: Eukaryota; Viridiplantae; Streptophyta; Magnoliopsida; Arecales; Arecaceae
Source: RefSeq, a predicted model, not a curated record